Molecule: ribosomal RNA, 446 nt
Filed under: uncultured bacterium
Lineage: Bacteria
Description: partial 16S ribosomal RNA
Rfam family: Bacterial small subunit ribosomal RNA
Source: RNAcentral
CCUACGGGUGGCAGCAGUCGAGAAUCAUUCACAAUGGGGGAAACCCUGAUGGUGCGACGCCGCGUGGGGGAAUGAAGGUCUUCGGAUUGUAAACCCCUGUCAUGUGGGAGCAAAUUAAAACGAUAGUACCACCUGAGGAAGAGACGGCUAACUCUGUGCCAGCAGCCGCGGUAAUACAGAGGUCUCAUGCGUUGUUCGGAAUCACUGGGCGUAAAGCGUGCGUAGGCUGUUUCGUAAGUCGUGUGUGAAAGGCGCGGGCUCAACCCGCGGACGGCACAUGAUACUGCGAGACUAGAGUAAGGGAGGGGGAACCGGAAUUCUCGGUGUAGCAGUGAAAUGCGUAGAUAUCGAGAGGAACACUCGUGGCGAAGGCGGGUUCCUGGACAGUAACUGACGCUGAGGCACGAAGGCCAGGGGAGCGAAAGGGAUUAGAUACCCUAGUAGUC